RNAcentral lists this ribosomal RNA (427 nucleotides) under uncultured bacterium. RNAcentral describes it as "partial 16S ribosomal RNA". It matches the Rfam family "Bacterial small subunit ribosomal RNA", at positions 355 to 774 of the family's 1533-position model. The record is from RNAcentral.
UGGGGAAUAUUGCACAAUGGGCGCAAGCCUGAUGCAGCCAUGCCGCGUGUAUGAAGAAGGCCUUCGGGUUGUAAAGUACUUUCAGCGGGGAGGAAGGCGAUAAGGUUAAUAACCUUGUCGAUUGACGUUACCCGCAGAAGAAGCACCGGCUAACUCCGUGCCAGCAGCCGCGGUAAUAAGGAGGGGGCAAGCGUUAAACGGGAUUACUGGGCGUAAAGCGCACGCAGGCGGUCUGUCAAGUCGGAUGUGAAAUCCCCGGGCUCAACCUGGGAACUGCAUUCGAAACUGGCAGGCUAGAGUCUUGUAGAGGGGGGUAGAAUUCCAGGUGUAGCGGUGAAAUGCGUAGAGAUCUGGAGGAAUACCGGUGGCGAAGGCGGCCCCCUGGACAAAGACUGACGCUCAGGUGCGAAAGCGUGGGGAGCAAACA